UGCACUGAUUGGCUGAGCCAGAAAGAAUCCGCUGCCUGGGCGGUUUCGGUUUUCGCCGCGACCGUUUGCGAGGCCGGGCUCGUGGGGCUCUUGGAGUCGGGCUUCUGCUUCCCGGCCUCAAGGAUUCUUAAAAUGAGUCUGCGGAAGCAAACCCCUAGUGACUUCUUAAAGCAAAUCAUCGGAAGGCCAGUUGUGGUCAAAUUAAAUUCAGGAGUGGAUUAUCGAGGGGUCCUGGCUUGCCUGGAUGGCUACAUGAAUAUAGCCCUGGAGCAGACAGAAGAGUAUGUAAAUGGACAACUGAAGAAUAAGUAUGGGGAUGCAUUUAUCCGAGGAAACAAUGUAUUAUACAUAAGUACACAGAAGAGAAGGAUGUGAAGACACCAGGGAAGCAAUUCUUUUCAUAGCUGGAAUAUAUUUUUUAUGAAAUGUUUUCUAUUUUUUAGUUCUUUUGUGUUGUAAGAUGUCUUGCCUUCAUAGUUGGUGAUUUUUCACCUACAUGUGAGUAAGAUUCGGCUCAUUGCUCUGGCCUGUCAACAUCAUUUUUCAUCAUUAUUCCAUCUGCCUGCUCCACCCAGAGGCUGGUCAUCUGCCAGCCAGAGCUGUGUGCCUGCUAGCCCUCCUCACCCAGCACAGGAACCAGAGUUCCAUCCAGGUGAUACAAUGAAGGCGACAACUUUUGUCCUUUCGGGGAGGUCCUCCAGUCAGUUUAGAAGCCACCUACUCAUCCUUGCUUUAUUUAGCCCAUUUUUCAUAUGGUCAGUAAAGAUAGAGGUAGGCAACUGAUUAUGUAUAUCAUUUUUACUAAGCUCCUAGGAGAGGCAGAGCCUAGACCAAUGCAUUUUUAGUGAGUCUAAGCCACUAAAAAAUCUAAUAAAAUAAUAAUGCACAUGGUGUAUUAUGAGGAUUCUCCAGGGAAACAAAAACCAAUAGGAGAGGUAGAUUUAUUGAGAAAGAGACUUAUGGAAGCCAUUGGCUGACAGGAAUACAGAGGCAGAGAAACCUCCUGAUCUGCCUUCCUGAAGCUGGCAUCCCAGGAAAGCCAGUGGUAUAGGUCAAAGGCCUAAGAACCAGGAGUCAAUGAGAGAGAGAGCACAGGUUGAGCGCGACAAUCAGAAGAUCUAAGGGCAGGAGCAGAAUAACGUUCCAGAUCAAGCAGUCAGCAAAUCCAGCUUUCCCUUGCCAUUUUGUUCUAUUCAGGUCCUUCAUGGGUUAGAUGAAGCCCACCCGUACUGGAGAGGCCAUCUACUUUACUCCAUCUAGUCACAGCUAAUUUCUCCCAAAAGCUCACAGACACACUUCAAAAUAAUGUUUAACCAAUGACCUGGCAUCCUAUGGCCCCAUCCAGUUGACACAUAAUUCGCAAGCAGUAAAAUGUUUUUUAAAAAAUGACAGAGAAGGCCGGGGAUUUCACUCAGUGGUGCCGCUGCCUACCUCGAAAGUGCAAGGUCCUGAGUUUGAUCCCCAGUAACAAAAAAAGAAAAUGACAGAUUUAUAUACUACUUGCACUUUUAAAGAAUUUGUCUAUACACGGCUGCUAUACUUCUUGUUUACUUCAAACUGCUAUUUCAGUACACGUAACGUAGAAAAACAAAUCAUACUAGAGACUGCCAUAUAUGAAUUUUGCUUAAACUAUUUUAAAUAAUUAGUAUUUUUCUGCCUAAGUAUAGACUCUUCAAUAAUAUAUGUGUGAAUUGGGAUUUGGGAGGAAAAUGCAGGUAAGUGUUGAUGGGAGAAAUAAUACUUAUGUUAAAUAUUUCUGUUCCUUCACCUGGUGAGAUAGGGAAAUGUCUGUAGAGUUGUAGAAAGAUGAUGUUAGGUUGGCAUCAGUAGCUAGACCUGCAGUAGACUGUUAAAGUCUUGUGGGCACUGUUGUCAUAGAGAUUUUGCUUACCUACUGGAGCAUUUUUUGUGAAUGAAGAGUUAGAUGCUGACCAGGAAAUUGGGAAGUCUGGGAUUUCUCCUAACUUUCCAGAACAGCUAUAGCAGUGGAGAGCAAAUGAUUAAAUUUCUCUGAGGUGCAGCAAAACCAUGAAAUGGGCCAGCCUCACUCACUGGAAGUGUGUGCGGAGGACUCUUGGAGUUCAGCGUCUGCCAAGAGCUGACUUAGAUCCUGGCAAGAAGAGCAGGCACAACAUUUUGGGGCACUGCGUGCUGCCCAAGAGCUUGGCUUCAACUUCUCCUUAACAAGAGAUGGAUGAGUGAGGCCUAUCAGUUUCAGAUGCCAGAAAGAAAAGGCUGUGAUAGCAGGCCUGUAGUUUGGGAGAGGUGUGGCUCAACUACCCAUUGCGUGACAAAAUAUGGAGACAAAUAACUUAUAAGGAGGAAAGAUUUAUUGUGGCUCAUGGUUUCAGAGGUUUCAGUCCAUAGUCACUUAACUCCAUCACUUGGGGCCUGUGGCAGAGCAGUACGUUAUGGCAGACAUGAGUGGUGGAGGUCUGUUCACCUCAUGGCAGCCAGAAAGCAAAAGAAAGAAUCAGGAAGGGGUUGGGGUCCUAAUAUUCCUUUAAGAGAACAAAGUCAAUGUUGUAACUUCCGACCACUCAGCCCCACCUCCUAAAGGCUCCAGCACCUCCCAACAGCACCAUGUGGGCUGGGGACCAAGCCUUUAGCACAUGAGCAUUUAGGGGCCACUUCAGAUCCAAACUAUAGCAGAGUCCUAAAGCAAAGGAAGGAAGUUGUUCUGCAGAAAUGGUCUAUGACAGUGAAUCAGGGAAUCACUUGGAGUUUGGUCAGUAAGUGUCCUGAAAAAAUGUUUUAUAAGAAAAAAUUAAAAUUCUUGAAAAUGGACUUUUACAUUUAAAGGUUAUGGUAUUCUCCAUCAUUGAGGGAGAAUUGGCAGGAACCAAACAAUUUGCUCUUCCUAUUUCAGAGUAGUUAAGAACCUUGGAUCAUUUUUGUUUUCUUUUCUUUUAAGAUGCUGGGGAUUGAACACAUGGUAAGCAAGUGCUGUACUACUGAGCUCCACCCCCAGCCCUGGAUCAUUUCUCUAGAGGAGAAUAAAGCAUAUUUGCUGUGACUGCUUCUGUGCUGGGUAAUAAGAGGGCAGUGUGAAGGGUAAGAAAAUAAAGGAGGAUAUUUAGGUGCUCAACAAUAAUGCUGAAUUUGUUAAUUUUAAAAAGAGAAGGAAAAGAGAAAAUAUAUGCUCAUAAUUUUAAAAUGUUCUUUAAUUUGAGAAAAUUGGCCAUGGAUGGAAAAAGAAAAAAUAUUUCCAGUUGACAUAUUGAGAACUCCAUGAGCCCAGGUCUACUCCAGUGGCUUUUACCUGCAUGCAUUGGAAGACUGGGUUCUGCAUUCAGUUUGCCCAAUUGUGGAUUGGCAGGGUAGGGAUAUGGUGUCUGCAGUGAGAGAAAUUUCUACCAAGGUUUCUUACCCAGAGUGGCCCUCCAAACCCCGGCCCCUGUUGGAGAAUCAGGAAAUGGAACUCUUGCCUGCAUCUUCAGUUGGCUUUCUAGAAUUGCUGCACACCUGUCUUCUCUGUCAGUUUUCUUGACUGUACAAUGGUGAUUGUACUAGUGACGGCAAUUGUAAUAGCAUAGAGUCUGGGACCACAGAUGCAGUGCUCCUCUGCAGGUGUCUCCAGCAUAGCUCUUCCACUCAUUAGCAAUGUGACUUCAGUCCAGUUACUUUAAUCCUUAAUCUUUCUAUGCUUUAGUUUCCUCAUCUGUAAAAUGGUGAAGGAAUUAGAACAUAUUCUGUAGGGUCAUUGUAAGGAUUAUGUGAAAGUGUUAGUUGUAUUGGUCCAAGAAACACAUGGAAUUCUGGGCAGAGAGAUGGAUAGUCAGGGUAAUUGGAGCUAAGCAAUCAAGGUGAUUCCUACCCUCCAGUGGUUUGGAGAUAAGUGGGUAGAAAACAGCACACAUCAAGCUGAAGCCACAGUGUGUGUGGGACCAAGCACCUACAUGAGGAUAAAGGGUACAUAAAGUGUAGGAUUCUAAAAAGCUGGCUGCUAAAAAGUAUUCAUAAAUGUAGAAGGUCCCACCGUAUACUAGUGGUUGAGACUAAAUUUUGGCAUCCAAUCACAGGGUGUGACUGCUUUGGAAUUU
Molecule: non-coding RNA, 4043 nt
Organism: Heterocephalus glaber (naked mole-rat)
Lineage: Eukaryota; Metazoa; Chordata; Mammalia; Rodentia; Bathyergidae
Source: RefSeq, a predicted model, not a curated record